RNAcentral lists this long non-coding RNA (481 nucleotides) under Homo sapiens (human). Its description in RNAcentral is "novel transcript, sense intronic to EPHX2". Lineage: Eukaryota; Metazoa; Chordata; Mammalia; Primates; Hominidae. The record is from RNAcentral.
UCCUGCUUUUUUUUUUUUUUUUUUUUUUUUUUUGCUAGGGCUGUGUCUUAUAUAGCACCUUCAGCUGCUACCUACAGCAGACGUGCUGUAGACUGUGUGUCCUGGCCCCUGGCAACCCCCAUCCUGCUUUUUUCUCUAUGAAUUGGACUCCUCUAGGGACCUAAUGUAAGUGGAAUCACAAUAUUUGUCUUUUUGUAACUGGCUUAUUUCACUUAGCAUAAUGUCUCCAAGGUUCACCCAUGUUGCAGCGUGGGUCUGAGUUUCCUUCCUUUUUGGGAUAGAAUACUAACUAUUCCACUGUAUGGAUAGAUCACAUUGGGUUUAUCCACUGAGCUAUCCAAGGACGCCUGAGUUGCUUUUGCCUUUUGGCUAUUGGGAAUAGUGCUGCUAUGAAUGUGAGUGUGCAUGUAUCUCUUUGAGACCCUGUUUUCAAUGCUUCUGUGUGUAUACCUACGAGUGGAAUUACUGGAUCAUAUGGAAA